GUUCCAUUAAUGCAGCAACUAUCAUUUCAUUUGUAAUUAAAAAUACAAAUGUCAAAUACUAGUGAAAAAAAUGAAUUUGUAGGGGAGAAGAUAUGAAUUGGAAGCUGUCUUAUCUACUGCUGAUUGGCACCUGAAGAGAGAUGCCAAAACCAAAUUGCAGAAAAGUAAUUGAAACCUAGCACCAAAAGGGCACAAAGUGGAAAGUCAAUGGAGGUUUCAAUUCAAACAGAAUCCUAGCUGUACUUUGUCUUUCACUACCUCCAAAAGAGGCCACAGAAAUGGGGAGAGAGCUAGCAAUCAUUCCUCUCUCUAUGAACCGCCAUCUCCAGAAAUUUCCCUAAAGGGCCAGUCUACACUUUUGGAAACCAAGAUAAGCUUAUCUACAAAGGUAUGUGGGUUUUUUCCCAUACUGAUUUCUAUAAAUUUUUUCAGCUGGCUGGAAAGCAGGUACAAAAUAUACUUUUACACUGAUAUAUUUGAUACUCUAAACUUCUUUCCUGUGGCAAAUAUUCUACUGAUGCAUCUAUGCUACAACUUGCUUCAAUUAUUAUGCAGGGUGUGCCAAAGACUCUGAGGAAGGGCAUGGGCUCAGAAAGUCUUUGCUGCUCAUUUGCCUUCUGAGUUGAGAACAGUCGCCACCUUGACUUUAACAUAGGAUAAUCAAACUGUAUUAUCCAGAGUUCUGCUUACAUUUUUAUAGGCAUGAGUACUUUUGCAUCUGUAAUCCAAUUCAU
This 734-nucleotide long non-coding RNA is filed under the name Felis catus (domestic cat). RNAcentral describes it as "lncRNA (ENSFCAG00000044452.2)". Lineage: Eukaryota; Metazoa; Chordata; Mammalia; Carnivora; Felidae. The record is from RNAcentral.